Molecule: ribosomal RNA, 497 nt
Filed under: uncultured bacterium
Lineage: Bacteria
Description: partial 16S ribosomal RNA
Rfam family: Bacterial small subunit ribosomal RNA
Source: RNAcentral
GAUGAACGCUGGCGGCGUGCCUAAUACAUGCAAGUCGAACGCAUAGCGAAAGGUGCUUGCACCUUUCAAGUGAGUGGCGAACGGGUGAGUAACACGUGGACAACCUGCCUCAAGGCUGGGGAUAACAUUUGGAAACAGAUGCUAAUACCGAAUAAAACUUAGUGUCGCAUGACACAAAGUUAAAAGGCGCUUCGGCGUCACCUAGAGAUGGAUCCGCGGUGCAUUAGUUAGUUGGUGGGGUAAAGGCCUACCAAGACAAUGAUGCAUAGCCGAGUUGAGAGACUGAUCGGCCACAUUGGGACUGAGACACGGCCCAAACUCCUACGGAAGGCUGCAGUAGGGAAUCUUCCACAAUGGGCGAAAGCCUGAUGGAGCAACGCCGCGUGUGUGAUGAAGGCUUUCGGGUCGUAAAGCACUGUUGUAUGGGAAGAACAGCUAGAAUAGGAAAUGAUUUUAGUUUGACGGUACCAUACCAGAAAGGGACGGCUAAAUACGUG